This is a long non-coding RNA of Xenopus laevis (African clawed frog), 783 nucleotides long. RefSeq lists it as uncharacterized. The transcript has 3 exons. The record is from RefSeq and is a predicted model, not a curated record. NCBI's taxonomy places the organism in Eukaryota, Metazoa, Chordata, Amphibia, Anura, Pipidae.
UAAGCAGCUUCACUGCUCCCUCCUCCCACAGGGCUUUUUUUUCAACUAUCUUUAUUGACCUCUCUAAUACAUCACAAUUCUGUUUUCCGGCCUUCUGAUUGGUUUUUCGUUGCAUGUGACAAGGAGGUGGCUGAGACGCGUCAUUAGACUGCAGCCAUGAACCAGGAGAGCAGCUUCAGAGCCCGUUACAGCGAUAAAUAGCUGCAAUUGCUUUCCUAAUAGCCUGGACUGGAUAUCUGUUUUGGAGGAAGCCCAUCUGAUUAGAGGUGCAUCUAGGAUUUCCCUAUCCUGGACAGAAAGCUUAUUCAGAUGAGCUUCUUGGUGAAACUUAAGGCCAUUUUCUGGGGAUUUGAGAGUCCGUUGAUAAAGUUUUUUGAAGUGAGAUGUGAUCACGUUUGUGAUAUCUUUUGUACUAUGAGCCCAUCCUGUGGGAGUUUUGAGUUUCUGGAUAAAAGUAUUGGACUGUUGUCUUUUGACUAAAUUUGCUAAUAGUUUGCCCGAUUUGUUUCCCCAUCGAUAAUAUCUAUUGUGGCUCAAUUUAUGUGGCAUCUAUUCAGUCAAUAAAGUAUUGAAAAGCGCCUUUGUAUUUUUUCUUUGCUAUUGCCGAAUUAGUAGAUUUAAACUUUUUAUAAGCCUGCGUGAGUUCUUUUUGUAACAACCGGUACUUUUCACUAAAGGACCUCUUCCGCUUGAUCAGCUAAUAUGAUGUGGCCUCGUAACACUGGUUUGGCUUCUGCCCAUAGUAAGUUUUUGUCAUCCCAAUGGGCUAGAUUGUCAUCAAUA